UACGUAGGGUGCAAGCGUUAAUCGGAAUUACUGGGCGUAAAGCGUGCGCAGGCGGUUAUGUAAGACAGAUGUGAAAACCCCGGGCUUAACCUGGGAACUGCAUUUGUGACUGCAUGGCUAGAGUUUGGCAGAGGGGGGUAGAAUUCCACGUGUAGCAGUGAAAUGCGUAGAUAUGUGGAGGAAUACCGAUGGCGAAGGCAGCCCCCUGGGUCAAGACUGACGCUCAUGCACGAAAGCGUGGGGAGCAAACAGG
RNAcentral lists this ribosomal RNA (253 nucleotides) under uncultured bacterium. RNAcentral's name for it is "partial 16S ribosomal RNA". It matches the Rfam family "Bacterial small subunit ribosomal RNA", at positions 524 to 776 of the family's 1533-position model. The record is from RNAcentral.